This 458-nucleotide ribosomal RNA is filed under the name uncultured bacterium. RNAcentral describes it as "partial 16S ribosomal RNA". It matches the Rfam family "Bacterial small subunit ribosomal RNA", at positions 338 to 795 of the family's 1533-position model. The record is from RNAcentral.
CCUACGGGUGGCAGCAGUGAGGAAUAUUGGUCAAUGGGCGAGAGCCUGAACCAGCCAAGUCGCGUGAGGGAGUACUGCCCUAUGGGUUGUAAACCUCUUUUGUCGGGGAGCAAAAGCCGGACGUGUCCGGCUGUGAGAGUACCCGAAGACAAAGCAUCGGCUAACUCCGUGCCAGCAGCCGCGGUAAUACGGAGGAUGCGAGCGUUAUCCGGAUUUAUUGGGUUUAAAGGGGGCGCAGGCGGAUUUUUAAGUUAGCGGUAAAAUCGUGGGGCUCAACCCCAUCCAGCCGUUGAAACUGGGGAUCUAGAGUGUGCGAGAGGUAUGCGGAAUGCGUGGUGUAGCGGUGAAAUGCAUAGAUAUCACGCAGAACCCCGAUUGUGAAGGCAGCAUACCGGUGCACAACUGACGCUCAGGCACGAAAGCGUGGGUAUCGAACAGGAUUAGAUACCCUUGUAGUC